AAAAAAUAAGAUUCUCUCUCUCUCUCUCUCUCUUAUUCGUCUUCUCAAAAUUGAAGAAAACAAAAAUUUCUCUGCUCAUAAUUGGUCUCUCCUCUCCCCCACACAUAAGUCCAAAACCAAAUCACUUUUCUUUUUUUUUUUGCUUCAAACUCUCUCCCUCGCUUCGCUUUUCAAUUUCGUAAUUUCGUCAUCGUUGAACCACAGAGAGAGAGAGAGAUAUUUUCUUCUCAUCUCCGGAGCUUCGAAUACUAGGUUAGAAAUGAUUUGGUAGCUUCGAUUUCUCCGCGAUUGUUUUAUUUGAUUCUUCCACUGGAUUUUAGUUCAAGGUUUUGAUUACAUAUAUAGUAGAAUGAUGGAACUGAUCAUCAACAUAUUUUUCUAUGUCGAUGAUGAUGCUUUUUUGUCAUUGUUCCCUUGAUUUCUUCUUUUUCAAACUGUUGAUGACGUUGAGGUUUUGAUCAUUUCACAUCUGAUUAUUUGCAGUCUUCAUCCAUUAUUCGUUAAUCUGAUUUUAUUCAAUAAAGUAGUGAUAGAGAGUUUAUAAGAGGUAAAAUCAAGGCCGUUGUUAGAGAUGAUUAAAUAGUGUUAGAUGUUAGUAGAUAUUUGUCAUUAAGCUUCCCAUCAAUGAUCAGCUUUUUCUCUUUUCCAUACAGGCCAAAACUCCUUUGAAUCGAUUCUGGGGAGCGAGCUCAAAGGAAGUUUUGGGAUAAAAGGGUAAGAGAGUCUAGAAACUCCUCCCUGUAUUUUUACCCUUUUUACCAGUACUAAUUUUUCUCUACUAUGCUAAAUUUAGAUUAGAUCGGAUCGAGAUCGGUUUAGUUGAAACUUUAUUACUAUUAUUUAUGUCAUUUGGUUAGAGUAACAUAAGAACAAAAAGUAACAACUCACAUUUUCUGAAUAUGAUAGCUAUCUCGUUUCUAGAGGUAUGUGCGUUUUCCAAACUUUUGCUUAGCUGGCUCCACAUGACAUUUCUUGUUUCACCAAAUACCAUGCGUUACCAACUUAGACCUGGUAAAAGGGAUUAGAGUUAAAUCAAACUUGUUUUAUUCUUCUUCAUUUGCAUUUACAUUUACAUUUUUUUUUGUAUCUUAUUAACACUAUCACUUGGUAAGAAAUACACAAUGAUGCAGGGCUUUUGGAUCUUAUGAGAUCUACCGAUGUUCUUUGCGGGUCCCUCUAAUUACAUUAUUGUCUGUAUACCUUGUCUGUGUUCUAUUAUUAUUAUAUUAUCGCUCUGCUGAAAACCAAGAUGCGAACCUAUGAUCUGAAAGCCAAAUUUAUUAUUAGUUUAGUAAUGUGUUAGUUAGUAGUAGUAUAGUACUACUAGUAUUAUAUAUUAACGAGUAUGAAUGUGAAAUGGAUGGUACCUCUUUUUCUAAUUAAAUAAUCAAUAAUGCCAUUUAUUUUGAACGUAAGUUAGUGUUGCUGUUGCACAAAAAAAAAGUUAGUGUUGCUAGUCAUAACGUUUCUUCUGAUAUGUUUCUCUUGUGUUUUGUCCAAAGACAGAUCGUGUUUGAUGGAGUUUCACAGAUGAAAGAAUAUUGGGUUCUCAAAACCUCUUGUUGUUGAGUUGCCUCGAUAAAUGAUAUUUGGUUAGUAAAUCCAGAAGAAAAGAAGAUAUGAGAAAGCAUCGGUUUAGAGAGACCUUGAAGUCUUUCUUUGAGCC
RNAcentral lists this long non-coding RNA (1666 nucleotides) under Brassica rapa (field mustard). Its description in RNAcentral is "long non-coding RNA (BRAP_LNC002885)". The record is from RNAcentral. Lineage: Eukaryota; Viridiplantae; Streptophyta; Magnoliopsida; Brassicales; Brassicaceae.